CCUACGGGAGGCAGCAGUGGGGAAUAUUGCACAAUGGGCGCAAGCCUGAUGCAGCGACGCCGCGUGAGGGAUGACGGCCUUCGGGUUGUAAACCUCUUUCAGUAGGGAAGAAGCGAAAGUGACGGUACCUGCAGAAGAAGCGCCGGCUAACUACGUGCCAGCAGCCGCGGUAAUACGUAGGGCGCAAGCGUUAUCCGGAAUUAUUGGGCGUAAAGAGCUCGUAGGCGGUUUGUCGCGUCUGCCGUGAAAGUCCGGGGCUCAACUCCGGAUCUGCGGUGGGUACGGGCAGACUAGAGUGAUGUAGGGGAGACUGGAAUUCCUGGUGUAGCGGUGAAAUGCGCAGAUAUCAGGAGGAACACCGAUGGCGAAGGCAGGUCUCUGGGCAUUAACUGACGCUGAGGAGCGAAAGCAUGGGGAGCGAACAGGAUUAGAUACCCUGGUAGUCCAUGCCGUAAACGUUGGGCACUAGGUGUGGGGGACAUUCCACGUUUUCCGCGCCGUAGCUAACGCAUUAAGUGCCCCGCCUGGGGAGUACGGCCGCAAGGCAAAACUCAAAUGAAUUGACGG
This 567-nucleotide ribosomal RNA is filed under the name uncultured bacterium. Its description in RNAcentral is "bacterial SSU rRNA". It matches the Rfam family "Bacterial small subunit ribosomal RNA", at positions 338 to 916 of the family's 1533-position model. The record is from RNAcentral.